GAGAGAGAGAGUCAGAGAGAGAAAGAGAGAGAGGGGGAGAGAGAGAAAGAGAGAGGCAGAGAGAGGGAGAGGGAGAGAGAGAUGCAGAGAGAGAGAGAGUCAGAGAGAGAGAGCGAGAGGGGGAGAGAGAGAAAGAAAGAGAGAUGCAGAGAGAGGCAGAGAGAGGGAGAGGGAGAGAGAGAUGCAGAGAGAGGCAGAGAGAGGGAGAGGGAGAGAGAGAUGCAGAGAGAGGCAGAGAGAGAGGGAGAUGCAGAGAGAGACAGAAAGAGGCAGAGAGAGAGAGUCAGAGAGAGAGAGCGAGAGGGGAGGAGAGAGAAAGAGAGAGAGAUGCAGAGAGAGAGAGAGUCAGAGAGAGAGAGAGCAAGAGGGGGGGAGAGAGAAAGAGAGAGAGAGAUGCAGAGAGAGGCAGAGAGAGGGAGAGGGAGAGGGAGAGAGAGAUGCAGAGAGAGGCAGAGAGAGAGGGAGAUGCAGAGAGAGACAGAAAGAGGCAGAGAGAGAGUCAGAGAGAGCGAGAGGGGAGGAGAGAGAAAGAGAGAGAGAUGCAGAGAGAAACAGAAAGAGGCAGAGAGAGAGAGAGUCAGAGAGAGAGAGAGAGAGAGAGAGAGGGGGGGAGAGAGAGAAAAAGAGAGAGCAAUGUAAAGGGAAGGUGAAGAUCAGCUUGGUAAUUAAGUAGUGAACUAGGGCAGGUAAUUAAGUAGUGAACUUGGGCAGUUAAUUAAGUAGUGAACUAGGGCAGGUAAUUAAGUAGUGAACUUGGGCAGGUAAUUAAGUAGUGAACUUGGGCAGUUAAUUAAGUAGUGAACUUGGGCAGUUAAUUAAGUAGUGAACUUGGGCAGUUAAUUAAGUAGUGAACUUGGGCAGGUAAUUAAGUAGUGAACUAGGGCAGGUAGUUAAGUAGUGAACUAGGGCAGGUAGUUAAGUAGGGAACUUGGGCAUGUAGUUAAGUAGUGAACUUGGGUAGGUAAUUAAGUAGUGAACUUGGGCAGGUAAUUAAGUAGUGAACUUGGGCAGGUAAUUACGUAGUGAACUUUGUCACGAAUUCCACCGAAGUCGGUCCCUCUCCUUGUUCGGGCGGCGUUUGGCGGUUGACGUCACCGGCCUUCUAGGCAUCGACGAUCCAGUAUUCAUUUUCAAUUUGUUUUGUUUUUGUUUUACACACCUGGUUUCAAUUCCCCAAAUACAUGUUCUUUAUUUAACCCUCUGUUUUCUCCAUGGUUUUUAUGCGUGUUUGUUUGUUGGCUGAGAAAUGUUUGUUCUUCCAAAAGUCUGUCUCCUUCCAGGGUACCGCAUUUCCACUUCAGGGGUAGAGAUGAAGAGUGACCGCAUUUUAGCCGUGUGUAAUUGGCUGACUCCCACCAUAGUAAAGGAGGUGCAGCGGUUUCUAGGGUUUGUCAACUACUACCGGAGGUUUAUCCGGGGUUUUGGUCAACUAGCGGCUCCCAUUACCUCACUGCUGAAGGGAGGACCGGUGCGACUGCAGUGGGCGGCUGAGGUGGACAGGGGCUUUUGGUCACCUGAAGCCUAUGUUUACCUCGGCUCCCGUGCUGGCCCAUCCGGAUUCCUCUUUGGCGUUCAUAGUGGAGGUGGAUCCGUCCGAGGCUGGGAUAGGAGCCGUGCUCUCUCAGUGCUCGGGUACGCCACCAAAGCCCCUGUGGCUUCUUCUCAAUGAAGCUCAGCCCGGCAGAGCGAAACCAUGAUGUGGGGGACCGGGAGCUGUUGGCUGUUGUCAAGGCUCUGAAGGCGUGGAGACAUUGGCUUGAGGGGGCUAAACACCCUUUUCUCAUCUGGACUGACCACCGCAAUCGGGAGGACAUCCGGGCGGCGAGGAGACUGAACCCUCGCCAGGCAAGGUGGGCCGUGUUCUUUACCCGUUUUGUUUUCACUCUGUCCUACAGACCAGGUUCCCAGAACGCUAAGGCAGAUGCACUGUCCCGGAUGUAUGACACAGAGGAGCGGUCCAUGGAUCACACUCCCAUACUUCUGGCCUCUUGCCUGGUGGCACCGGUGGUGUGGGAGCUGGACGCAGACAUCGAGCGGGCAUUACGUACGUUCCUGUUGCUGUCCGCGGCCGUUUGAUCUAUUGGGUCCACAUGUCACCCUCCUCUGGUCAUCCGGGCAUCGGUAGGACAGUGAGAUGUCUCAGUGGGAAGUACUGGUGGUCCACCUUGGCCAAGAACGUGAGGGUUUAUGCUUCCUCCUGCUCGGUGUGCGCCCAGUGCAAGGCUCCUAGGCACCUGCCCAGGGGGAAGUUACAGCCCUUACCCGUUCCACAACGGCCGCGGUCACACCUAUCGGUGGAUUUCCUCACGGAUCUUCCUCCCGCACGGGGCAACACCACGAUCCUGGUCGUUCUCAGUUCUCUAAGUCCUGCCGUCUUCUUCCUUUGCCCGGUCUCCCUACGGCCCUACAGACGGCGGAGGCCCUGUUUACACACGUCUUCCAGCACUACGGGGUGCCUGAGGAUAUAGUGUCUGAUCGAGGUCCCCAGUUCACGUCAAGGGUCUGGAGGGCGUUCAUGGAACGUCUAGGGAUCUCUGUCAGCCUCACCUCGGGUUUUCACCCCAAGAAUAACGGGCAGGUGGAGAGAGUAAACCAGGAUGUGGGUAGGUUUCUGCAGUCUUAUUGCCAGGACCGGCCGGGGGAGUGGGCGGCGUUCCCCUGGGCAGAGAUGGCCCAAAACUCACUCUGCCACUCUUCCACUAACCUCUCUCCCUUCCAGUGUGUACUGGGGUAUCAGCCGCAGUUCUGGCACC
Molecule: long non-coding RNA, 2753 nt
Organism: Oncorhynchus tshawytscha (Chinook salmon)
Lineage: Eukaryota; Metazoa; Chordata; Actinopteri; Salmoniformes; Salmonidae
Source: Ensembl